AGAGAAGCAUGCCAUAGGGACAUUGUGAAUUUGCAAGUGGAGAUGAUUAAACAGUUUCAUAUGCAACUGAAUGAAAUGCAUUCUUUGCUGGAAAGAUACUCAGUGAAUGAAGGUUUAGUGGCUGAAAUUGAAAGACUACGAGAAGAAAACAAAAGAUUACGGGCCCACUUUUGAAAUUUCAGUGAAUACCUUAAUGUUCUGUAAUUUGGGAAGUUUCUGGCAACACAGAACUACAUAGAAUCAGUAUUAUUUUCAUGGCCUCCAGGGAAAAAAUGUUUUUCAAGUAAGAGUAAAAGGGUGAUGGGAUUUUAUACCAACAACUGUUUCAUCUUAAAAAUAUGUAUAUUUUUAUAUUAAAAAUUGUACAGUAUGUCAUCUACC
This 381-nucleotide long non-coding RNA is filed under the name Pan troglodytes (chimpanzee). Its description in RNAcentral is "long non-coding RNA NONPTRT003625". The record is from RNAcentral. Lineage: Eukaryota; Metazoa; Chordata; Mammalia; Primates; Hominidae.